AAUUUUGGACAAUGGGGGAAACCCUGAUCCAGCCAUCCUGCGUGUAUGAUGAAGGCCUUCGGGUUGUAAAGACCUUUUGGCAGAGAAGAAAAGGUAUCCCCUAAUACGAGAUAUUGCUGCAGGUACCUGAUGAAUAGGCACCGGCUAUCUACGUGCCAGCAGCCACGGGAAGACGUAGGGUGCAAGCGUUAAUCGGAAUUACUGGGCGUAAAGCGUGUGUAGGCGGUUCGGAAAGAAAGAGGUGAAAUCCCAGGGCUCAACCUUGGAACUGCAUUUUUAACUGCCGAGCUAGAGUAUGUCAGAGGGGGGUAGAAUUCCACGUGUAGCAGUGAAAUGCGUAGAUAUGUGGAGGAAUACCGAUGGCGAAGGCAGCCCCCUGGGAUAAUACUGACGCUCAGACACGAAAGCGUGGGGAGCAAACA
Molecule: ribosomal RNA, 422 nt
Filed under: uncultured bacterium
Lineage: Bacteria
Description: partial 16S ribosomal RNA
Rfam family: Bacterial small subunit ribosomal RNA
Source: RNAcentral